This 206-nucleotide unclassified non-coding RNA is filed under the name soil metagenome. RNAcentral's name for it is "partial contains 5.8S ribosomal RNA, internal transcribed spacer 2, and large subunit ribosomal RNA". The record is from RNAcentral.
AACCUAGCACACCUGCGGUGUGUACCUGCGGAGGGAUCAUUACCGAGUUUACAACUCCCAAACCCCUGUGAACAUACCACUCGUUGCCUCGGCGGAUCACCGCGCCCCGUGAAACGGGCCGGCCCGCCAGAGGACCUAAACUCAAAUGUUUUAUUGUAUCUUCUGAGUAAAAACACAAAUAAAUCAAAACUUUUAACAAUGGAUCU